CGUAGGGCGAGCGUUGUCCGGAAUUAUUGGGCGUAAAGCGCGCGUAGGCGGCUGGUUAAGUCCUGUGUGAAGACCACGGCUCAACCGUGGGGUGCACGGGAAACUGGCCGGCUUGAGUGCAGGAGAGGGAGCGGAAUUCCCGGUGUAGCGGUGGAAUGCGUAGAGAUCGGGAGGAACACCAGUGGCGAAGGCGGCUCCCUGGCCUGUAAACUGACGCUGAGGCGCGAAAAGCGUGGGGAGCGAAACAGGAUU
Molecule: ribosomal RNA, 252 nt
Filed under: uncultured bacterium
Lineage: Bacteria
Description: partial 16S ribosomal RNA
Rfam family: Bacterial small subunit ribosomal RNA
Source: RNAcentral